AGCGAACGCUGGCGGCAGGCUUAACACAUGCAAGUCGAGCGGGCGUAGCAAUACGUCAGCGGCAGACGGGUGAGUAACGCGUGGGAACAUACCUUUUGGUUCGGAACAACACAGGGAAACUUGUGCUAAUACCGGAUAAGCCCUUACGGGGAAAGAUUUAUCGCCGAAAGAUUGGCCCGCGUCUGAUUAGCUAGUUGGUAGGGUAAUGGCCUACCAAGGCGACGAUCAGUAGCUGGUCUGAGAGGAUGAUCAGCCACAUUGGGACUGAGACACGGCCCAAACUCCUACGGGAGGCAGCAGUGGGGAAUAUUGGACAAUGGGCGCAAGCCUGAUCCAGCCAUGCCGCGUGAGUGAUGAAGGCCCUAGGGUUGUAAAGCUCUUUUGUGCGGGAAGAUAAUGA
Molecule: ribosomal RNA, 400 nt
Filed under: Bradyrhizobium sp. NS2
Lineage: Bacteria; Pseudomonadati; Pseudomonadota; Alphaproteobacteria; Hyphomicrobiales; Nitrobacteraceae
Description: bacterial SSU rRNA
Rfam family: Bacterial small subunit ribosomal RNA
Source: RNAcentral